Molecule: ribosomal RNA, 550 nt
Filed under: uncultured bacterium
Lineage: Bacteria
Description: partial 16S ribosomal RNA
Rfam family: Bacterial small subunit ribosomal RNA
Source: RNAcentral
UGGGGAAUAUUGCACAAUGGGCGCAAGCCUGAUGCAGCCAUGCCGCGUGUGUGAAGAAGGCCUUCGGGUUGUAAAGCACUUUCAGCGAGGAGGAAGGUGGUGGACUUAAUACGUUCAUCAAUUGACGUUACUCGCAGAAGAAGCACCGGCUAACUCCGUGCCAGCAGCCGCGGUAAUACGGAGGGUGCAAGCGUUAAUCGGAAUUACUGGGCGUAAAGCGCACGCAGGCGGUUUGUUAAGUCAGAUGUGAAAUCCCCGGGCUCAACCUGGGAACUGCAUUUGAAACUGGCAAGCUAGAGUCUCGUAGAGGGGGGUAGAAUUCCAGGUGUAGCGGUGAAAUGCGUAGAGAUCUGGAGGAAUACCGGUGGCGAAGGCGGCCCCCUGGACGAAGACUGACGCUCAGGUGCGAAAGCGUGGGGAGCAAACAGGAUUAGAUACCCCUGGUAGUCCACGCUGUAAACGAUGUCGAUUUUGGAGGUUGUGCCCUUGAGGCGUGGCUUCCGGAGCUAACGCGUUAAAUCGACCGCCUGGGGAGUACGGCCGCAAGGUU